RNAcentral lists this non-coding RNA (45 nucleotides) under Schistosoma mansoni. Lineage: Eukaryota; Metazoa; Platyhelminthes; Trematoda; Strigeidida; Schistosomatidae. The record is from RNAcentral.
AUCCAUCUGACGAGUCCCAAAAAGGACGAAACGCGCGUCCUGGAU